UGGAGACGUCGCAUAGUCAGGUCUAGUGCGCGGCCCUGCUAAGGCCGUGAAGGGGUCACACCCUUCCGUGGGUUCAAAUCCCACCGUCUCCGCCCA
RNAcentral lists this transfer RNA (96 nucleotides) under Cellulomonas carbonis. RNAcentral's name for it is "tRNA-Ser". It matches the Rfam family "tRNA". From Rfam's summary of the family: Transfer RNA (tRNA) molecules are approximately 80 nucleotides in length. Their secondary structure includes four short double-helical elements and three loops (D, anti-codon, and T loops). The record is from RNAcentral. Lineage: Bacteria; Bacillati; Actinomycetota; Actinomycetes; Micrococcales; Cellulomonadaceae.